RNAcentral lists this ribosomal RNA (517 nucleotides) under uncultured bacterium. RNAcentral describes it as "bacterial SSU rRNA". It matches the Rfam family "Bacterial small subunit ribosomal RNA", at positions 501 to 1016 of the family's 1533-position model. The record is from RNAcentral.
CUACGUGCCAGCAGCCGCGGUAAUACGUAGGUCCCGAGCGUUGUCCGGAUUUAUUGGGCGUAAAGCGAGCGCAGGCGGUUAGAUAAGUCUGAAGUUAAAGGCUGUGGCUUAACCAUAGUACGCUUUGGAAACUGUUUAACUUGAGUGCAAGAGGGGAGAGUGGAAUUCCAUGUGUAGCGGUGAAAUGCGUAGAUAUAUGGAGGAACACCGGUGGCGAAAGCGGCUCUCUGGUCUGUAACUGACGCUGAGGCUCGAAAGCGUGGGGAGCGAACAGGAUUAGAUACCCUGGUAGUCCACGCCGUAAACGAUGAGUGCUAGGUGUUGGAUCCUUUCCGGGAUUCAGUGCCGCAGCUAACGCAUUAAGCACUCCGCCUGGGGAGUACGACCGCAAGGUUGAAACUCAAAGGAAUUGACGGGGGCCCGCACAAGCGGUGGAGCAUGUGGUUUAAUUCGAAGCAACGCGAAGAACCUUACCAGGUCUUGACAUCCCGGUGCCCGUCCUAGAGAUAGGAUUUUG